UGCAGUUCCAAGCCUACACGAAGGUUGAAUCUAAAUUUUGAAGAUUUGAUCUCUAUUCCACUAUAAUUCAGAUAAAGAUUUGAUCUUUAUUUAGUUAAAUAUAUAGAAAAUUUUUAGAUGCAAUCUUGAUUAUCCACAAAAAAUAGAUUUCUUUCCCAUCAACUAUAAUGCAUGGAUAAUUGAAUAAUAAAAUUUAUGUUGUAUCACGACCUAAUGUAAUGUACACAUCAAGAAAAUACCCUAGGAU
Molecule: long non-coding RNA, 247 nt
Filed under: Elaeis guineensis (African oil palm)
Lineage: Eukaryota; Viridiplantae; Streptophyta; Magnoliopsida; Arecales; Arecaceae
Description: long non-coding RNA (EGUI_LNC062186)
Source: RNAcentral